This is a non-coding RNA of Maylandia zebra (zebra mbuna), 200 nucleotides long. The record is from RefSeq and is a predicted model, not a curated record. NCBI's taxonomy places the organism in Eukaryota, Metazoa, Chordata, Actinopteri, Cichliformes, Cichlidae.
CAUGAUGGCCUUACCCCUGAGCAGUCAUCCUGUUAAAGGAGGAACCAGUUAGAAGCUGUUUUCAAAGUAGCUGAGCAGAUUUCAUCUCAACAGACAAAGCCGAUGGCAGAAGAUGUCGGAGAAGAACUUCAGGCCGUGGACUGAAAAGUAGAUCAAAGCAGCUCGUGCUCUUCUGCUUCCAAUUUAGAAGAAGAAGAAGA